This 45-nucleotide non-coding RNA is filed under the name Trichobilharzia regenti. Lineage: Eukaryota; Metazoa; Platyhelminthes; Trematoda; Strigeidida; Schistosomatidae. The record is from RNAcentral.
AUCCAGAUGACGAGUUUCAAAUAAAGCGAGAUGCGCAUCCUAGAU